AUACGAAGGGUGCAAGCGUUACUCGGAAUUACUGGGCGUAAAGCGUGCGUAGGUGGUUGUUUAAGUCUGUCGUGAAAGCCCUGGGCUCAACCUGGGAAUGGCGAUGGAAACUGGGCGACUAGAGUGUGGCAGAGGGUAGUGGAAUUCCUGGUGUAGCAGUGAAAUGAGUAGAGAUCAGGAGGAACAUCCGUGGCGAAGGCGACUGCCUGGGCCAACACUGACACUGAGGCACGAAAGCGUGGGGAGCAAACAGGAUUAGAUACCCUGGUAGUCCACGCCCUAAACGAUGCGAACUGGAUGUUGGGUGCAAUUUGGCACGCAGUAUCGAAGCUAACGCGUUAAGUUCGCCGCCUGGGGAGUACGGUCGCAAGACUGAAACUCAAAGGAAUUGACGGGG
This 397-nucleotide ribosomal RNA is filed under the name uncultured bacterium. RNAcentral's name for it is "partial 16S ribosomal RNA". It matches the Rfam family "Bacterial small subunit ribosomal RNA", at positions 523 to 918 of the family's 1533-position model. The record is from RNAcentral.